Molecule: microRNA precursor, 64 nt
Filed under: Myotis brandtii (Brandt's bat)
Lineage: Eukaryota; Metazoa; Chordata; Mammalia; Chiroptera; Vespertilionidae
Description: mir-9242 microRNA precursor family
Rfam family: mir-9242 microRNA precursor family
Source: Rfam by way of RNAcentral
GGCCUCCCUCUGUGGGGUGAUCAAUCAUGGAGCCCCCAGGUUGAUCACUGUGCAGAGGGAGGCC